AGUGAACGCUGGCGGUAGGCCUAACACAUGCAAGUCGAACGGCAGCACAGUAAGAGCUUGCUCUUACGGGUGGCGAGUGGCGGACGGGUGAGGAAUACAUCGGAUUCUACUUUUUCGUGGGGGAUAACGUAGGGAAACUUACGCUAAUACCGCAUACGACCUACGGGUGAAAGCAGGGGAUCUUCGGACCUUGCGCGAUUGAAUGAGCCGAUGUCGGAUUAGCUAGUUGGCGGGGUAAAGGCCCACCAAGGCGACGAUCCGUAGCUGGUCUGAGAGGAUGAUCAGCCACACUGGAACUGAGACACGGUCCAGACUCCUACGGGAGGCAGCAGUGGGGAAUAUUGGACAAUGGGCGCAAGCCUGAUCCAGCCAUACCGCGUGGGUGAAGAAGGCCUUCGGGUUGUAAAGCCCUUUUGUUGGGGAAGAAAAGCAGCAGGUUAAUACCCCGCUGUUCUGACGGUACCCAAAGAAUAAGCACCGGCUAACUUCGUG
This 492-nucleotide ribosomal RNA is filed under the name uncultured bacterium. RNAcentral describes it as "partial 16S ribosomal RNA". It matches the Rfam family "Bacterial small subunit ribosomal RNA", at positions 29 to 507 of the family's 1533-position model. The record is from RNAcentral.